This 510-nucleotide ribosomal RNA is filed under the name uncultured Planctomycetota bacterium. RNAcentral describes it as "bacterial SSU rRNA". It matches the Rfam family "Bacterial small subunit ribosomal RNA", at positions 392 to 896 of the family's 1533-position model. The record is from RNAcentral. Lineage: Bacteria; Pseudomonadati; Planctomycetota.
CGACGCCGCGUGCGGGAUGAAGGCCUUCGGGUUGUAAACCGCUGUCAGUGGGGUGGAAAUCGGUUGGGGCUAUCCCCUUCUGUUGACCUAACCGCAGAGGAAGUCCGGGCUAAGUACGUGCCAGCAGCCGCGGUAAUACGUACCGGACGAACGUUAUUCGGAUUUACUGGGCUUAAAGAGUGCGUAGGCGGCUUUGCAGGUGGGGUGUGAAAGCCCACGGCUCAACCGUGGAAUUGCGCUCCAAACCGCAAGGCUUGAGGGAGACAGAGGUGAGCGGAACUGAUGGUGGAGCGGUGAAAUGCGUUGAUAUCAUCAGGAACACCCGUGGCGAAGGCGGCUCACUGGGUCUCUUCUGACGCUGAGGCACGAAAGCUAGGGGAGCGAACGGGAUUAGAUACCCCGGUAGUCCUAGCUGUAAACGAUGAGCACUAGAUCGUGGGGACUUCCACAUCCUCUCGGUCGUAGCGUAAGUGUUAAGUGCUCCGCCUGGGGAGUAUGGUCGCAAGGCUG